This 700-nucleotide ribosomal RNA is filed under the name uncultured Cortinarius. RNAcentral's name for it is "eukaryotic LSU rRNA". The stretch from base 177 to 330 matches the Rfam family "5.8S ribosomal RNA". Lineage: Eukaryota; Fungi; Basidiomycota; Agaricomycetes; Agaricales; Cortinariaceae. The record is from RNAcentral.
AGGAUCAUUAUUGAAAUAAACCUGAUGGGUUGCUGCUGGUUCUCUAGGGAGCAUGUGCACACCUUGUCAUCUUUAUAUCUCCACCUGUGCACUUUUUGUAGACCUGAAAAGGUCUAUGUUGCUUCAUUUUACCCCAAUUGUAUGUCAAUAGAAUGUUGUGCCUAUAUAAUAUAUACAACUUUCAGCAACGGAUCUCUUGGCUCUCGCAUCGAUGAAGAACGCAGCGAAAUGCGAUAAGUAAUGUGAAUUGCAGAAUUCAGUGAAUCAUCGAAUCUUUGAACGCACCUUGCGCUCCUUGGUAUUCCGAGGAGCAUGCCUGUUUGAGUGUCAUUAAUAUAUAAACUCAACCCUUCUCUUGUUGAAGGGUUUGGAUGUGGGGGGUUUUGCUGGCCUUCUCAAAGAGGUUCAGCUCCCCUGAAAUGCAUUAGCAGAACGACCUUGCUCAUUGGUGUGAUAACUAUCUACGCUUAUGACUGUGAGGGGCAGUUCAGCUUUCUAACAGUCUAUGGACAAUUCAUCAUUAAUGUGACCUCAAAUCAGGUAGGACUACCCGCUGAACUUAAGCAUAUCAAUAAGCGGAGGAAAAGAAACUAACAAGGAUUCCCCUAGUAACUGCGAGUGAAGCGGGAAAAGCUCAAAUUUAAAAUCUGGCGGUCUUUUGGCUGUCCGAGUUGUAAUCUAGAGAAGUGUUAUCCGCGCU